AGAACGAACGCUGGCGGCGCGUUUUAAGCAUGCAAGUCGGACGGCAAGGGCUGUAGCAAUAUGGCCCCUAGAGUGGCGAACGGGUGAGUAACACGUAGGUGAUCUACCUCUGGAUGGGGGAUAGCCUGUGGAAACACAGGGUAAUACCGCAUGAGGCCUUGAGGGUGAAGCCUUGGGGUGAAAGGUGCAAUUGCAUCGUCUGGGGAUGAGCCUGCGGUCCAUUAGUUAGUUGGCGGGGUAAGAGCCCACCAAGACGACGAUGGAUAGCCGGCCUGAGAGGGUGGACGGCCACACUGGAACUGAGACACGGUCCAGACUCCUACGGGAGGCAGCAGCUAAGAAUCUUCCGCAAUGGGGGAAACCCUGACGGAGCGACGCCGCGUGGAUGAUGAAGGCCGUAAGGUUGUAAAAUCCUUUUGUCGGUGAAGAAUAAGUGGGGGAGUGGAAAGCCUUCAUGAUGACGUUAGCCGACGAAUAAGCCCCGGCUAAUUACGUGCCAGCAGCCGCGGUAAUACGUAUGGGGCAAGCGUUGUUCGGAUUUAUUGGGCGUAAAGGGCGUGUAGGCGGCUCAUCAAGUCUGGUGUGAAAUCGCAGGGCUUAACCCUGCAUAUGCGCUGGAAACUGGUGGGCUAGAGUUCUUGAGGGGAAGCUGGAAUUCCAGGUGUAGGGGUGAAAUCUGUAGAUAUCUGGAAGAACACCGGUGGCGAAGGCGAGCUUCUAUCAGAGGACUGACGCUGAGGCGCGAAAGCGUGGGGAGCAAACAGGAUUAGAUACCCUGGUAGUCCACGCUGUAAACGAUGUGCACUAGGCGUGGGGCACGUACGUGUUCUGUGCCGUAGUUAACGUGUUAAGUGCACCGCUUGGGGAGUAUGCUCGCAAGGGUGAA
Molecule: ribosomal RNA, 886 nt
Filed under: uncultured bacterium
Lineage: Bacteria
Description: bacterial SSU rRNA
Rfam family: Bacterial small subunit ribosomal RNA
Source: RNAcentral